GGGUGUCGCGCAGUGGUCGGCUAUGUUUUGAUGCAGUUAAAUGCUGGAAAUGACAUUUAGCCAUAAAGAUAAUCGUCACAAGUGCAUAUAUGUGUGUUCGAAAAAUGUCGACUUAUUGUGUAAAAAUGCUUGCGUUUGUUUAAUCUAGCGCUUAAAGCUACUAUUCCUCCCAGUUGUUUUGCCAGCUGGCAUGGCGUGAAUUCCGCAAACCCGAAGGAACCAAUGUCAAGAAUGCGUCGAGCUAGCUGACAUGGUAUUUUCAUACUGAAUUCUGGUUAUUAUUAGCGAUGAACGUAACGUCGUCCAGACCAGCCGCUUUCCUCUCGUUUUCUUCUGGAUCCGACAGAUAAAAGUGCUCGUGAAAAACUUCUCCCAGCGCCGUCCUGAUCCGGGACGAGCCUGUAAUGGACGCAGCAGCGCAGACGGGUUUAUAGCCACAUUCAGGCCCCCAAACACACACAACGGUGGCUGUCUUUCUUUUCUAUGACACAUCCAGUUUAUGCCCAGCUAGAUUCGGUGGAAUCGCUCCUGGACGAACUCCCAUAUAUGUUUUAUUUGGGUCUGUUCUUUGUUAACGUCCUCAUCCUUUACUAUGCCUUUCUGAUGGAGUACAUCGUGCUGAACGUGGGGAUCGUGUUCCUGCCCGAGGACAUGGACCAGGCUCUGGUGGACCUGGGGGUGCUGUCCGACCCGGCCUCCCUGCCCUACGACACCGACACGGAGCUGGACGUGUUCGAGGGAUAUCUGGAGUGACUGAUGGUGGGAGACAUGUCCGGGACAAAGGGGGCCAUCGUGGGGGAAAGUGUGAGGAGGAACACGCCUCAAAGUGGACGCUGUUGUUGCAGUUUUUCUCUUUCACAGAGACUUUUGGUCAAAAAGUUGUCACGGCUCAAAAGAACUGUGCCUGAGGGAGAGAUUCAACACCGCUUGCCAUAUGAUCACCAGCUGGACGGAUGGAAAGAGCUUUCUGCACUAGAUCAUCUGUGUUGACUCCUGCUGGACUCAGCCGGGCUGGUUAUGGCACCGGGGACACUCACUUUGGACAUAAGGAGUUGUGCAGCACGCGGGGAGCAGCAGGUGUUCUCUUUAUCUGAAGGCUGGAGCUGCGCUGUUGACGUCCAGUACCCUGACAUUUUACAUUAAGCAAUUAUCCAGGCUUUACAGGAUAUGGUGGUUCAAACAUUUCAAAAGAACUGGCAGGAAGAUAGCACUUAUGUAGGCAUGUGUCAUACUUAAUCAUUCAGAGAAUUCCUUUUUUUUUUUUUCUUCUUCAAUCUAUAAUUCAGGACACAUUAUCCAUUGCUUCUUGAUAGUUUCAUUCUCAAAGUUUAAAUUUGUGUCUUUUGAGGCUAUCCAUGCUUUAUUUCAACAUCAGGGACAUGCACUCUCUCAGGAGUAAAGAAUAGUGAGCGCACUGGCAAGACCUCACACACUGGAGAUAGGCUGCAGAAUGGAGAAGAAUUAAGCUGAUUUUUCAUGGUGUACUUGCCACUUUUUCUUUUUAACUCUCAACCAGAAUGUAUUCAAGUUAACAUGCUCAAUCUAUACCAUGAGCAAUUGGGUUCAAGUACAUUUUCAUUUCCCACUUGAUUCAUUGUGGCAAAAUGUGCCAAAUGUCAUAAAAGAAAACCUCAAAAGAAGUCCAUAAAACUUGCCAUCCUCUGUUCAUCGUGAAUGCUUUCAGGAUGACUCAGAAGACUCUAUGCAUGAUGCUGUGUUUUUAGUUUAGCUUUUUUUUUUAACUGAGGUUAAUUGUGUUUAAAUUGUUACAGUUUUAGAAUUUCUUUUUAUGAAUUGUAUGUUAUGAAAAGCAAUAAUAAAAUUCAAGGAAGGGGUUAAUUAUCUGUUAAUGUUAUCAUUCAAGUAUUGGGUUAUUGUCACCCUUGUGCUUGGUUUGGUUUGGAAUACAAACUUGCAUCAGCGUUGACUGUUAAGGGAUAGUUAAGUUUUGGACAAAGUUUGAAUAUAUUGUACAUGUUGCAGAUCCAAGAGGGCUGAUUUCAGUCCAGCUAAUGAUUAACGUUUGGAUGAGAAGUGUCAAUAUCAGUCUACCAGAAUAUGCAAAUUGUGUAAGAUAUUUGUUAAAUUGUGGUUGUAAACCAAAUAAAUGGAGCUGUAGAGACAGAAGGGAAAAAAAGUCUCAAACUACGCAUGCAUGCAUGUUUCAGCUGAGGUUAUCUUGGUUUGGCCUGGUGGCUGGAACAAGACAGACUUUCACCACUCUGCCAAGCUGCACUCAGUUUGUAUUUGAACAUCAUGUCUUGUCAGCUGAAACAGCCCUACAGCUAAACCGAUAUCAGCAGUGAAGAACAAAACAUGCUGCUAUCAAAUGCUGAUUUAAAUAAAACCUUUUAUUGUAAUUUAGGGGGGACUGAUAUAGGGUUCUCUUGGGCCAGUGCCAUCUGUUAUGACAUCAGAAGCCAUUUACAUUUUUUUUGGUCAAUAUGUUGGGUCAGUUUUCAAUUUUCCUGUCCAUUUGAUCAGACAUAACUAGUUUGUCAAGCCAUACUCAUUUACUUUGUAAAUGUUUUUGCCUGUGAAAUGGGUGUGGUACUCCUCCCAUUCUCAGGCAUUUCCGCAGAAAUUACCAAAUCAAUCACAACAAGCAAGGAUGGGUUUUUAAGUGAUUAAUCAUAGAGCAUAACCUAAGAGCUACGUUUCAAAAUAUCCAAGAUGGCCACAGAGUUGCUAAAAACCUAUCAGAUCAAAUCAAUACGUUUUUACUUCCAAACUGACAACAGUCCCUCAUUAUAUUGUGUUAGUCCAGCUGUCACUCUACCUAAGUCACUGGUUCGUUUCUCUGAUUGGUUGUUUUUCUAUCUAGAGGUCAUGUUUUCUGUUAGUUGAAAGUUUCUCCUGGAAAUUUAACGUCUCAACCAGACUUUUCCAGACUGAUUCUUUGUAUCGAAGAGGGAAAGAUUAAGGGUUGCAUGUGACAGUUUAAAAAUAACAUAUGUGGUAACCAUAGAUAUUUAUUAAUUAAAUUACAUUUGAAUUUAUAAAAAAAAGAAGGAAGAAGAUGGGACAGUAAUACAUGUUAGCAGCAAAGGAAAGCCCACAAAUUAACUAAUUCGAUUUUCUCAAGCGCCGUCCAAUGUCAGUUAAAAAAAGGCAUUAAAGGUUGAGUAGAAUAUUUUUUUCUGAUGAGUUUUUUUUUAGACACCAUCAGAGAACAAUUAUGUGAACGCAUGUCAGCAAAAAAUACGGAUCAUCUGUAAAAAGAACAGAGCUCUAAAAAAAAAGCAAAAACAAAACAAUCCUUGUCUGAAUCGUCUGAACAGUUCAUGUGCUUUGGUGGGGAUUUGGGAGGCAGGUCCUGAGGGAACAUUAAUGCACUUUAUUUAUUCUUUUUUUUCUCAAAAUAUUCAACCCUAGUGCAUUCACACAAGAGCAUUGCAGCACGAUGUUUCUGACGUACCAUUGUUGAUUGUAUAGGUUGUACCACUGAACCACUCAGUGCUUAAAACUGCGUGCGAUUUCAUUGCUGAGCAUCAGCUGUGUAUCCACAGUUAUAUCAACCGAAGCUUGUGUUGGCAGCUGAAAAGUUGUACUUUUUUUCCAACUUCUGACAGGAACAACACUUCCAUAACCACACAAAGGACUCAGUUUAGUUUGGCAGUGCCUUACGUCCCUCCACUCAGAGUCAAUGGACACCAACUCAAAAUCUUAAAAAUAAUAUUUGUCUUAUUUCUAGUUAAAAUGUCUCAUUUUUAGUAAAAAAAAAAAUCUCAUUACACUUAAAACAAGAACUUGAAAAAAACAACAAUUUUCCCCUG
Molecule: RNA transcript, 3776 nt
Organism: Cololabis saira (Pacific saury)
Lineage: Eukaryota; Metazoa; Chordata; Actinopteri; Beloniformes; Belonidae
Gene: dexi
Gene name: Dexi homolog (mouse)
Exons: 2
Source: RefSeq, a predicted model, not a curated record